This 115-nucleotide non-coding RNA is filed under the name Heterosigma akashiwo. The record is from RNAcentral. Lineage: Eukaryota; Raphidophyceae; Chattonellales; Chattonellaceae.
UGAGAGGGCGUGGCGCCGGAAGAAGUGUGCUCAUAUUGGUGGCUGCCCCCAUGCUAUCAGAAAGGAGACCAAAAUCUGCAACCGGGUGGUCUGCAGAAAGGCAUAUGGCCGCCAU